This is a long non-coding RNA of Cucumis sativus (cucumber), 2121 nucleotides long. RefSeq lists it as uncharacterized. Lineage: Eukaryota; Viridiplantae; Streptophyta; Magnoliopsida; Cucurbitales; Cucurbitaceae. The record is from RefSeq and is a predicted model, not a curated record. The transcript is spliced from 8 exons.
GCUGUGUGUUCCAAGUCGCCCCAUACUCCAAUCUUUCUUGCAAUCUUGUUUCGUUUGGUUCGUGCGUCGUGGCCUCUAUUUCAUCGUAAACUGACAAAGUGGUAUUGAAGGUAGCGCUUAAAUCCCUUGAACGCACAACACAUUUUAGAUCUUGGUUGAAGUUCGAUUUCGCUAAUACUCAAGAUAUUUUUCGUGGACCUUAGUUGAUUAAGGAGCUUCCCUAACUCGAGGAAUUAUGCCGCCAAAGAGGUGUUCGUAGAGGAGGUCGUAGAGGCCGGGGUAGAGGAGCAGGUCUUAAUCAACCUACUGAGGGUCAAGCUGAACAGCGAAUUCCUGCUGCACCCGUGACUCACGUUGAGUUGUUGCACUGUUUGCUCACAUGGAGCAGAGGUUCACGGAGCUUAUGACGGCUAUAGCUCAGAACCAGCAGGUACCUGCAGUUCCACCUGCACCAGUUGUUUCGCCUGCACCGGUGGUUCCCCCUGUACCAGCAGCUCCACCUGCACCAGCAGCCCCUCUUGCACAAGGAUUGGCUGCACAACAGCCACAGAUACAACCGAACCAGCUUUCUACUCAGGCGAAACAUUUGAGAGACUUUAGGAAAUAUGACCCUCAGACGUUUGAUGGGUCACUGGAGGAUCCUACUAAAGCUGAGUUGUGGUUGUCCUCUGUGGAAACCAUAUUUAAUUACAUGAGAUGUCCAGAGGAGCAUAGGGUUCAGUGUGCUGCUUUUCUUCUGAGGGACAGAGGUAUUAUUUGGUGGAGGACUACGAUGUGUAUGUUAGGUGGAGAUGUGAGACAGAUCACUUGGGAUCAGUUUAAAGACUGCUUCUAUACCAAGUUUUUCUCGGCUAACCUUAGAGACGCCAAAAGCCAGGAGUUCUUGGAAUUGAAGCAAGGACACAUGACAGUUGAGGAGUAUGACCAGGAGUUUGAUAUGCUGUCGCGCUUUGCCCCUGAAUUUGUUGGUAAUGAGCAGGCUAGAGCUGAAAGGUUUGUCAAAGGAUUGAGAGAUGAGAUUAGAGGCUUUGUGCGAGCACUAAAGCCACUACCCAGGCUGAAGCGCUGCGUCUGGCAGUGGAUAUGAGUAUUGGGAAGGACGAAAUUCAGGCAAGGAGUUCUGAUAAGGGAACGUCGUCUAGUCAGAAGAGGAAAGCAGAGCAGAGAAUUGUGGGAGUUCCUCAGAGGAACUUGAGAUCAGGCGAUCCUUUUCGCAGUUUCCAGCAGAGUUCUGGUGGGGCAGGAGACACUACUAGAGAGAAGCCACUAUGCAAUACGUGUGGGAAACGCCACCUGGGUCAUUGUUUGAUGGGAACGAGAGUCUGUUAUAAGUGCAAGCAAGAGGGACACAUGGCUGAUCGAUGUCCCUUGAGAUCUACUGGGGCUGGACAGAGCAGUGAGGGAGCGAGACCUCCACAACGGGUACAAUCUUUGCCACUAGUAGAUCAGAAGCAGAGAAGGUCGGCAUAGUGGUGACAGAGCUUGGAUUGUCUCCUCCAGUUGGUUAAAGGAAAGCUACCAGGAAGGCAUAUUUGUUGACGAGUUGCCUUACAUACUAAAUGAUGAUGACUACAUAUCGAAGUAUCGAGCCAGCUUAAAAGCUGCAGUUCUCAGGGCAAAAGCAUGUCCUGGAGUUUUAUUUGAAGGGUAUGAUAUUUGCAUAUCAGCUCACGCUCAACCACCACCUAAAACUCUAUCCCUGAUAGUCAAGUCAGCCGGUGGAAAUGUCGGUUCGUUGCACUUUAGUUUGAAAAAGAAGCUUAAGUAAGGUUAUAAGGCAAAGGUAACAAAGGAGGUAGACCGACGAGGGACAAGAAGGAGACGUGAUUGCCAUAACGGAAUGUCCUUCAAAUGCUUCCGCUUUAUGUUUCUUGUUUUUCCUUUGUACAUGAGGUUGUUUAAAAAAUUUGUGAUGGAACUAAGUUUACGAACUGUUGUUUUGUAAAUAGUACUUUUAAAGUUUUGGUUAUUUGAAAUAGGGCUCGAACUUAAGUUUGUUUUCUUUGAUCCUAUGAUUUCAAGUGAAUUUUACUAUAUUUUGUGUCAAUCAAGGUCUCUUUGUCAAAAUUAAUGAUUUCAACUUAGUGAGAAAAGUUGGGUCGUUACAACAAAUUUUAAGUA